GCGGCGGACGGGUGAGUAACGCGUGGGUAACCUGCCCUAUACACAUGGAUAACAUACUGAAAAGUUUACUAAUACAUGAUAAUAUAUAUUUACGGCAUCGUAGAUAUAUCAAACGUGUUAGCGGUAUAGGAUGGACCCGCGUCUGAUUAGCUAGUUGGUGAGAUAACUGCCCACCAAGGCGACGAUCAGUAGCCGACCUGAGAGGGUGAUCGGCCACAUUGGAACUGAGACACGGUCCAAACUCCUACGGGAGGCAGCAGUGGGGCAAUAUUGCACAAUGGGCGCAAGCCUGAUGCAGCAACGCCGCGUGAACGAUGAAGGUCUUCGGAUCGUAAAGUUCUGUUGCAGGGGAAGAUAAUGACGGUACCCUGUGAGGAAGCCCCGGCUAACUACGUGCCAGCAGUCGCGGUAAUACGUAGGGGGCUAGCGUUAUCCGGAUUUACUGGGCGUAAAGGGUGCGUAGGUGGUCUUUCAAGUCGGUGGUUAAAGGCUACGGCUCAACCGUAGUUAGCCUCCGAAACUGGAAGACUUGAGUGCAGGAGAGGAAAGUGGAAUUCCCAGUGUAGCGGUGAAAUGCGUAGAUAUUGGGAGGAACACCAGUAGCGAAGGCGGCUUUCUGGACUGCAACUGACACUGAGGCACGAAAGCGUGGGUAGCAAACAGGAUUAGAUACCCUGGUAGUCCACGCUGUAAACGAUGAGUGUUAGGUUCUUGGAAUAAUCUGGGAGCCGCAGGCUACGCAUUAAACACUCCGCC
RNAcentral lists this ribosomal RNA (756 nucleotides) under uncultured Clostridia bacterium. RNAcentral's name for it is "bacterial SSU rRNA". It matches the Rfam family "Bacterial small subunit ribosomal RNA", at positions 95 to 873 of the family's 1533-position model. The record is from RNAcentral. Lineage: Bacteria; Bacillati; Bacillota; Clostridia.